GCUACCUCUGCACAAUAACAAUGGAUAAUGAAAUAAAUGCUGAGCACUUUGGCUGGUUGGUUCUCAAAGCACUCUACAGACCACUCACACAGUAGUACAUUGAUUUUUCUCACCCUUGAAAUACAGCAAUCCUGUGUCAGAACGUGGCUGCCAUUUAACAGCACAUAGCAAAAUUACAAAGCAUUUAGAACAGGAAUUAAAACUCACUCUAAAAACAGCAGGGCAUUUUUAAGUUUUCAAAAUAUAAGAGUUAUCAAAUAUGGAAUAUGUCUGUCUUUUCUGAUCUAUGUCUAUCCUUGCUAAUUGACUUCAGAGCCAGAAAAGAGAUCUGCAGAAAAUGGCUAUAAUAUCAAUGCUGAGUCACAUAGCCAAGGGAUUUCUCUUUCUCUUCUGUAUCUUCUUUUUUUCUAGUACCAAACCGCUUAUGAUGUGCUUAUCUGCACAGUGAUACCAAUAGCUGAACCUGACCAAAGCAGGAGCUGUGAUCGUUGUGUUGUUGGCCAUGUUGAAGGGCUGAAGGUCAUACACAUGGCAGAAUCUUCCAACCCUGCCUGCAGGAGCUACUGGUAAAAGCAUUCAGGCAGGGUGAGGUGCAGAGCCUGAGCUUCCACUGGAUGUUGAUGGCUGCGAUACGCUUAUAGAGAAAGUACACUUUAUAAUUGGCAGCAAACAUCAG
Long non-coding RNA from Gallus gallus (chicken), 676 nucleotides. Lineage: Eukaryota; Metazoa; Chordata; Aves; Galliformes; Phasianidae. The record is from Ensembl.